CGUCUCAGUUCAGAUUGCAGGCUGCAACUCGCCUGCAUGAAGUCGGAAUUGCUAGUAAUCGCAGAUCAGCAUACUACGGUGAAUACGUUCCCGGGCCUUGUACACACCGCCCGUCAAACCAUGAGAGUUGGCAACACCCGAAGUCGGUAGUCUAACCGCAAGGAGGACGCCGCCGAAGGUGGGGUUGAUGAUUAGGGUUAAGUCGUAACAAGGUACC
This 217-nucleotide ribosomal RNA is filed under the name uncultured bacterium. RNAcentral's name for it is "partial 16S ribosomal RNA". It matches the Rfam family "Bacterial small subunit ribosomal RNA", at positions 1284 to 1500 of the family's 1533-position model. The record is from RNAcentral.